CACCCCAACACACACACACACACACACACACACACACACACUCACUACAAAUAGCAUCUGACGCAAGUCAGGGUAGCUGUUCAGAUGCUGACAUAUCACUGCUUAUACAUGUAUUUUUAGCUCACCUCUUUCAUCAUUGCAUUAUAUGCUUUUCCAUUAAAUCUAAGGAAUCUCCACCUCUUUAAAGACAUCGUGCUGAAGUUGUCCCUUUCAUUUUCAUCUGUUACCGGGUGAUGUAUGCUUCUGUAGUUCUGAGGGGAAAUAAUCUAAGCACCAAGGGUGGGCCUUGGUCUCUUGCUGGCUGAGCAGGAUUUGAAAGAGGAGGUCCUAGUCUUUUAGACACAAUGUCCGGUGGAGUGGAAAACUGUUACUACAAGAGUAUUUUUUGAUGCUUGCUCCCUGCUGAUCAUGCCUGAAAACACUUUCUAGAAAUCUGAUGUGUCAGAAGGGAACUCUGCCAUGCUGACUUCACAGCACCAGGAUCACAAGGAGCUCUAAGACACUUCGGGGGUUUAGUAUACCACUGCCUGCAUGUGGUGAGAAGAUAUCAAUAUUUAUUCAGGUUGAACAGCUAGAGUGGGAUGAUGGAAUCUAAUGGUUUACAUUUUCUCAGUGCCAUCUGUAUAAAUUACCAGACUGCUUUCCAAUCCAGCAGAGGCUGGAGAUAUGGAUAUAGGGGAUGAGCCUCUUGCCUUUAAUUAGAAGCAGCCCCAGGGUGAGAAAAAGAAGCAACCAUAUAAAAUUCUCUAAAGUGCAUCUGGGGAGGUGCAAGAGUUAACAGCAACCCCACUCUGAUCAACCACCACUCUGAUCAGUAGGCAGCUAUCAACAUUGAGGCAAGACCCUCCACCAUCAAGAAGAUUACAACUCGCUGAAAGCUGAGAUGAUUGUUAGCAAUUUUUAACAAUAAAUUACUUUUAAAAUUAAGAUACAUACACAUUUUAUUAGACAUAAUGGUAUUGCACACUUAAUUGACUAUAGUAUAAUCUAAACAUUACUUUUAUAUGCAUGGAAAAUGACUAAUGUGAUGUAAUUGACACAGCUGCCUUGUAAAAUAUUAAUUCAAAUGAAAUAAUUAAUUUGUUGACUAUAAUGAGUAAGUAUUGAUGCUACGAUACAAAAGCUUUUGUUAAAAUGUGGUUGGUUGAUUUCCAUGUCCUUUGAUGUCUUUUUUAAAAACUAAUUUAAAUGUCUUACAUUUGUUAGGUUAAACAGAUUGAUUUAAAAUUCACUAAAACACUUAUUUGGAAGACCCAGAAAUUUUGCUUCUAAAAUAAUUAUUAAAAGUUUGCUUCCAUAUAUUUGAAAAAUGGAGAUUGGAAAAACUGUGUAUUUAGUUACAAAGUCAAAUACUCAAAUAUUUGAUGGAAAUGUUUCUAAAUAUUCAUUUAAAAUUAUCAUUACUUUGUACAAGUUACAUACAAAAAGGAGGUCUCUGUCAAAUAUUAAUCAAAGAGCAUUUUUGCUAUAAAAGGAUAGAUGAAGUAUCCAUGUUCUAAAAUGUUAAGCUAAAUAGCAUAUGACUGAGAAACUACUGUCAGCCCAGAAAAUGUCAGCACAUUUGGAACACUUGUUUGUUGUCGCUGUUGUUGUUUUUUAAAAAGGUGUUACUCAUCUUUGAGUUUAGCAAUACAUGAGUUCCAGAAGGUCAAUAGUGAAUAUCUGAGUACAACAGAUUCUCAUAAAAAUUCUGAGCAUUAUUACAAACUAUUAGUAAAUUUCUUUUACAGUUAUCAAGGAAGUCUUGUUUUAAUUAUGUUAACUGCAUCAAUAACAUCCUAUAUCACUUUUCUGCAUUUUCUGCCUCCAAAUUCUUGUCGUAAUCAUUUGCCAAUGAAUGUUGUAAUAGAAGAGACUUAUUCUUGCACAGUCUAAUUUUCAGCAGUGAUUAUAUUUGUAUUGUUUUCCAUAAAACAUUGUUUUUACCAAAGGCAUUUAUUUUUUGAAAAACGUAUUUUCUCUGUUAUGCUUCCUUUAUUGGCUCAGGAAAAAAAAUUGUACAUACAUUUCAAUAUUUUAAAACAGAAUUCAGCAAAUAUCUUAAGUUGAGAUGUGUUAGAAACAUCUAUUUUCUUUACCAGUUUUACAGAACACCUUCUGUACUGAAUAACUUGUCCUAAUGCUUCUUCAAAUUUUCAAAGAAUGUCUCUUCAUCUUCCAACAAUAUUUACUGAUAAAGGAAUUCAUUUUAGCCAUUUUGACUGUAGCAGGAAGAAGUUUUAGCCCCAUAAAAUACCAAGUGCAUUAGUGAGUCUACAAACUUGUAUUUUUAAAAUUUAACUUCACAGGUAUAAAUAUUUUUAUCAUUUAAUAAAAAACAACAAUAUGGACUCAUGUGUAUUUUAUGCCAAUGUUAAUUUCCAAAUUACUAAUAUGUUAACUAUUGCUAUAUGGAUUAUUAUUUUCUUGUGUAGACCUCAGUAUGUUCUCCCACCGUACUCAGUGCAUAAUUUUAAAAAUUAUAAUGUACAUUUAAAAGUAGAAAAAAAAUAGCUGUACCUAACAAAAUGGUACUAUUAGGUGAGCUUUAGUAACCCAUGUGUGCCAUUAAAUACCAAGCAAGGGUCUCAGGGAUCUAUAAGAUAACAGCUAGGUCAUGGCACGAAGUUAAUAGUUAUAUGAAAAUACAGAAUAUAUGAUUUAAUAGUAAUAUCACAUUAGAAAACGUCUAAUGCUACUUUCAGGCUCUAAGUGCUUCUUGUCUGAUUUUUAUACUCAUGAGAAGAAAUGUGAACAGUUGGUAAUUAUUGGUAAUAUUUCAAGUUAAAUUAUUUAAUUAAAAUUUGCUUUCUUACUUUAUUUUCAUGUUUUAGAACAACUUAGUCUUCUGGCUUUGAGGGUAGUGUUAUGAAUUAUGAUUUCCUCAAUAUUGAACACACAAAAAAAAAUUGUCUUAAGGCUUGUGUCAUCCAUAAAACAGGAUUUCCAUUUUUGGUGGUUAAUAAAAUAUUAUACUGUGUCUUA
Molecule: non-coding RNA, 2964 nt
Organism: Macaca mulatta (Rhesus monkey)
Lineage: Eukaryota; Metazoa; Chordata; Mammalia; Primates; Cercopithecidae
Source: RefSeq, a predicted model, not a curated record